GCGGCGGACGGGUGAGUAACACGUGGGGCAACCUGCCCUGCAGACUGGGAUAACUUCGGGAAACCGGAGCUAAUACCGGAUAACACCGAAAACCGCAUGGUUUUCGGUUGAAAGGCGGCUUUUAGCUGUCACUGCAGGAUGGGCCCGCGGCGCAUUAGCUAGUUGGUGAGGUAACGGCUCACCAAGGCGACGAUGCGUAGCCGACCUGAGAGGGUGACCGGCCACACUGGGACUGAGACACGGCCCAGACUCCUACGGGAGGCAGCAGUAGGGAAUCUUCCGCAAUGGACGAAAGUCUGACGGAGCAACGCCGCGUGAGCGAAGAAGGUCUUCGGAUCGUAAAGCUCUGUUGUCAGGGAAGAACAAGUGCCGUUCGAACAGGGCGGUACCUUGACGGUACCUGACGAGGAAGCCACGGCUAACUACGUGCCAGCAGCCGCGGUAAUAC
RNAcentral lists this ribosomal RNA (448 nucleotides) under Aeribacillus sp. U22D004. Its description in RNAcentral is "bacterial SSU rRNA". It matches the Rfam family "Bacterial small subunit ribosomal RNA", at positions 95 to 526 of the family's 1533-position model. RNAcentral also lists the same sequence under 2 other names. The record is from RNAcentral. Lineage: Bacteria; Bacillati; Bacillota; Bacilli; Caryophanales; Bacillaceae.